UUCGAAACGGUGAGACGAGCGUUUGUUGCGUCGGAAUCCUACUUCGUCGUUUUUAAGGGAUUCCAACCUGGACUGUGAUGUGUUAUUUUGCGUGCAAUUUGAGAAUUGACCGCGACCACAUUCUAGUGGGCCGUAAGGAAGAUAUCCUGCUAAGAAACGUUCUGAAGGGAGCAUUUUUUCAUCGCCUACUGAGACGACACGUGUGUGGCGGUAAACACGUGUAUAGGAUUGUGCGUGUGCACUGCGUUGGUGUAUUGAGGAUGACGAACAGCAUUAUUAUGGGAAGGAAUAACAAGCAAAAAUAGCGAUAAUUUAUAGCAGCUUGGACGAAAAAGAUGAUGAUGGGUUAGUUUGAUUACCUCCGGAAGAAUCAUCUGUGUACCAAUUAUGUUGGCAGCAGAGACCAUGAUCAUUACUAAGCUUUCCUUAGGUCAUCAAACACCGAAAGCCCAAGCUGAUGAAGAAAAAAACGAAGUUGACUUUAUAGCUGUCGGCCAUCAACCAUAUCAACCACUAGUGUCUUCCUUUUAACUACAAGGACUUCGCCGCCCUGGGCUCCUAAGUGUAUGAGAGUAUGGCACGGAGCGACGGCGCCGAAUACCCAUAUUUACACAAAAAAAUUAGAGCACCCGCCGCGGGAUUCGAACCAGCAACCUCUGGAUUGUUAGUCCAGUCCCAAGUAGCAAACUUUGUUCGCCAAAAGAUUUCCGAACUUGUUAUGUCGGACGAGUCGAUGGAGCUGGGUCCGGCUACUCAGGCCGAAAUCUUUGACGUCGAGCAGUUCUUGGAAGAUUGUGACGAGGAGUUCGCGUUGCACGGCAAUCAUCAACAACGAGAAGAACGCGAACAAAAUGCCGGAGAAGAACGCGAACAAAAUGUCGGAGAAGAAGGCGAAGCACUACAAGGUCAACUGCGGGUGAGCUAUCAUAUUGUCGAUUUAAAGAAAAGUGGCUACAAGCUGGCGACGAAGCUUCACUUUUUUCCCACACAUGAUGAAAACUACAGUUUCUGAAACAAAAUAAGGGAAUCUGAUCAACUUUAAAGACAAAAAUGCCAUUUUCAGAAACCAGGCAGAUGAAGUGCUGACGGAGAAGAAAACAAAAACACUUCACCAGGUCGUGAAAACAGCCAGCCCCCUGACAUUUUCUGACAAUGCUGUUAUCCACUAGAUUCUUCGAAAAAGGGGCCGUUGAUGUGGACGUGAAAAGUAGCGGUUGUUGCGAAACUGCUAGAGAAACCUCGCUACGCCAGUAUAAUAGAAGCUUUUUUUCUGCCUCCGUAAGUGUUUUUCCUUGUUAUCCACGUUCAGUUUCAAUUGGCUGCUGUCGCUGCAGCUACAGCUCCCAACCGUGGAGAAAAAAGUUGUUUUCGUACCAGCCACUUUUUCUAGCAAGUCAGUCGGUUUGAAUUGUUAUUGGUUCUCAUCCACUUGCAACGAACUUUUUUUUUUUGUUGAGGGGUUGUUUUCGACUUGUGUUUUUCUUUUCAUACCCUUUUUUGCUUUGAAUUAAAACUGAAGCUGUUGUGUUGAUUACUAUUAGAUUACUGCGAAAGCUUUAAACCAGAUAAUGUUUUAAUAUUAUAUUUAGUAUUUUUCCUAUGGUUCUACAUUUUGAGAUAUUGAUAGUAUCUCUACCAAAAAUUAGCAAUAUUUGUUGAUAAUUGUCGAGAUUCUGCUAAAAACAAAAAAAAAAUCAAUCAGAUUAAAGAUAACAAGUCUUGUUUCAAACUAUUUUGCGACAUUUCUGUUUAAACAAAUGACUUAUUACCCAGCAAAAAAAGUUGAAUUUUGGAAUGUUGAAAAUUUGAUUGGUUGAAAAUGACCUAUUUUUUGAGUAAUAUCACUCAAAAAAUGUUUAAAAAUGUUAACCUGAUGAAUAUUCAUCGAAAACUGAUGAAAAUUUAACAAUUCCUGAUGUAAUAUUUUAUUUUUUUUUGCCACAAAAUCUGUCACCGUUUCCUGGUGAAUAUUAGCUUCAUUUUUUCUGUGUAUACUACCGAACAAAAAACAUGUUAUUCAUUUAUUUAACAAAGUUAAGUUAAUCAUUUCCAUAUAAAAUCGUGGCUGGCUGCUUAACCACUACUCAAAAGGAUUGUACAGGGGACAGAUCGACCAUAAAAAAAUAACAAUAAUAAUAAUAACAAUAAUUCAAUA
This is an RNA transcript of Culex quinquefasciatus (southern house mosquito), 2155 nucleotides long. RefSeq lists it as uncharacterized. The record is from RefSeq and is a predicted model, not a curated record. Lineage: Eukaryota; Metazoa; Arthropoda; Insecta; Diptera; Culicidae. The transcript has 5 exons.